CAACAGAAAUAGAAAAAGAAGAAAAUUUAUAUAAGCAAAUCUUACUUUACCAUAGUAAUGAGUCAAUGUAUAGCGGAAUAAACGAAACUUACAAUACACUUAAGGUCAAAAUAUACUGUCCCAAAUUCAAAGAUCACAUACAGUUAAUAAUAAAUAACUGUGAAAAGUGCCAAAGAACAUUUUUCAUUUCAAAAAGCAGUCUUUUGUCACAGUUAUUGACAAACGAACAAAAUUCACGGCAGGAUACAGCAUAACUGAUAGAAAUUAGAGGGCAAAGAAGGCUAUUAUAAUUGAACAUAUCGCGCAAUUUGGAAAACCAAAACAAAUCAUAACGGAUAAUGAAUUCAGGGCCGAACAAUUGAUACAGUUCUUAAAUGCAGAAGGAGUAGAGGUACACCUAACAAACCCAAAUUCUCAUACAGGCAAUGCAGACAUUGAGAGGCUGCACUCAACCCUGGUAGAAGAACUAACAGGAAUUAAAGAUCUAAGCCUCUCAACAGAAAUGAAGAUACUGAGCGUUAUAGACCAUGUGGAUAAUAAUAGCGUUUCUGAUGAAAUUGGUGAUAGCGUUUCUACAAGCAGCACCGAUAAUUGAAGUUGCGGGAUACACCAUGAUUCAACUCAACGAAGUAGAAAUCGUCAAUGAAGUAAAUACAAUACAUUAUACACCCUAAAAAUCCCAAGAAACUUUUUUUAAAGAAAAUGUAAAAUUAAUUACACCAUUACCAAAGGAACAAACUUGCAGAUAAAUCAAAAAGAUGAAUUAAUUGUAAUAAUAAAUAAAGAACACUAUGUGUAAAGGAAAAAUUCUGUAUUUAAAAAAUUAAAACUGGACAAGAAUUGUAUCUUUUCUGAUGAUUGUGAAAUUAUGUACAGUAUAAUAAUAGAACACUAAUUCAAGAAAUAAGUGAUGAUACCUUAACAAUAAACAAUGCACGUAAUGAAAGUCUCAUUCAGACUAGUGAUUAAAGCAACUUCAUAUCAAAAAAUUUUCGAAAACCGGCUACAACUUUUC
This is a non-coding RNA of Bactrocera oleae (olive fruit fly), 1015 nucleotides long. The record is from RefSeq and is a predicted model, not a curated record. NCBI's taxonomy places the organism in Eukaryota, Metazoa, Arthropoda, Insecta, Diptera, Tephritidae.